CAAUAGCGUAUAUUUAAGUUGUUGCAGUUAAAAAGCUCGUAGUUGGAUUUCGGGUGGGACGCAGCGGUCUCGCAUUGCGUUUGUACUGCUGCAGCCCUCCUUCUUGCCGGGGGCGGCCUCUCGGACUUCACUGUCUGGGGGUCAGAAUCGGCGAUGUUACUUUGAGUAAAUUAGAGUGUUCAAAGCAAGCUUACGCUCUGAAUAUAAUAGCAUGGGAUAACACGACAGGACUCUGGCCUAUCGUGUUGGUCUAUAGGACCAGAGUAAUGAUUAAGAGGGACAGUCGGGGGCAUUCGUAUUCCGUUGUCAGAGGUGAAAUUCUUGGAUUUACGGAAGACGAACAUCUGCGAAAGCAUUUGCCAAGGAUGUCUUCAUUGA
RNAcentral lists this ribosomal RNA (378 nucleotides) under uncultured eukaryote. Its description in RNAcentral is "partial 18S ribosomal RNA". It matches the Rfam family "Eukaryotic small subunit ribosomal RNA", at positions 592 to 976 of the family's 1831-position model. The record is from RNAcentral.